RNAcentral lists this ribosomal RNA (493 nucleotides) under uncultured bacterium. RNAcentral describes it as "bacterial SSU rRNA". It matches the Rfam family "Bacterial small subunit ribosomal RNA", at positions 29 to 514 of the family's 1533-position model. The record is from RNAcentral.
AUUGAACGCUGGCGGCGUGCCUAACACAUGCAAGUCGAGCGGCAGCGCGGGAGCAAUCCUGGCGGCGAGCGGCGGACGGGUGAGUAAUGCUUGGGAAUCUGCCUGUUAGUGGGGGACAACCCGGGGAAACUCGGGCUAAUACCGCAUACGCACUACGGUGGAAAGCCGGGGACCGCAAGGCCUGGCGCUAACAGAUGAGCCCAAGUCGGAUUAGCUAGUUGGUAGGGUAACGGCCACCAAGGCGACGAUCCGUAACUGGUCUGAGAGGACGACCAGUCACACCGGAACUGAGACACGGUCCGGACUCCUACGGGAGGCAGCAGUGGGGAAUAUUGGACAAUGGGGGAAACCCUGAUCCAGCGGCGCCGCGUGGGUGAAGAAGGCCUGCGGGUUGUAAAGCCCUUUCAGUGGGGGAAGAAAGACCUCGACCUAACACGGUCGGGGUCUUGACGUAACCCCAUAGAAGAAGCACCGGCUAACUCUGUGCCAGCCG